GCCUGGGUGGCUCAGUCGGUUGAGCAUCUGACUUUGGCUCAGGUCAUGAUCUCACGAUUCAUGGGUUCAAGCCCUGCAUCGGGCU
RNAcentral lists this transfer RNA (85 nucleotides) under Felis catus (domestic cat). It matches the Rfam family "tRNA". From Rfam's summary of the family: Transfer RNA (tRNA) molecules are approximately 80 nucleotides in length. Their secondary structure includes four short double-helical elements and three loops (D, anti-codon, and T loops). The record is from Rfam by way of RNAcentral. RNAcentral also lists the same sequence under 5 other names. Lineage: Eukaryota; Metazoa; Chordata; Mammalia; Carnivora; Felidae.